UUUUUAGUAUAAGUAUGUCCCAUGAAAUAUUGGGGACAUUCUUAUGUUAAAC
This 52-nucleotide microRNA precursor is filed under the name Pongo abelii (Sumatran orangutan). Its description in RNAcentral is "mir-1302 microRNA precursor family". It matches the Rfam family "mir-1302 microRNA precursor family". Lineage: Eukaryota; Metazoa; Chordata; Mammalia; Primates; Hominidae. The record is from Rfam by way of RNAcentral.